AUGGGGCUCUGUGGGGCAGCCAGAGAUUGUCAGAAGCCAGAAGCCUCCAUGGGGCAGCUGUGGGACAGCGAGAGCUCACCGUGGGGCUCCACCGGUGCCCACCUGGCUCAUCGGGGGAGCUGCCGGGGCUGCCCUGGCUCAGCGUGGCCCAGCUCGAGUCCUCGUCGCUGCCGGGGCCGGGCCCCCCGAAGAGGCGGCUGGCGCUGCGCCCCGGGGGCUCCCGCAGACCCCGCUCCGUGCCCAGAGCCGGCGGAGAGACCCCGGCCCCGUCCUCCUCCUCCUCGUCCUCCUCCUCAUCCUCCUCCUCCUCCUCCUCCUCCGAGGCGCCGAUCAGCAGCGCCCGCGGGUUCCCGGCGGCGUUCCGGGCAUUGCGGGCCCGCAGCCCCGGCUCGAGGGCCCCGGGGCACUCCCCGUGCGCCCCGGGGGAGCGCCCCGGCCCCGGCCCCGGCUCCAGCUCGUUGCGGUUCUGGUCCUGCCCGGCCUUCGCCCACCCGGCGCCGGGCAGCUCCUCGGCCGGGCCGCCGCCGGGGCCGGUGCGCGGCUCGGGGGGCGCCGCCAGCCCCAGGCUCAGCCCCGGGCACCGGUUGUCGUUGGCCAGGUCGCUGCACUUGCUCAGGGCCCCCGACAUGGCGCGGGGACGCGGGGACCGGCGGGACCCCCGGCAGGGCCCGGCCCGGCUGCCGGUGCUGGGGGGGAGGGCGGGGGGGUCCUACAGCCCCCGGGGCGCCGCCGCGUCCAUCGGGCCUGCGGGGAGCGGGAUGGCACCGGGACCCCGGCCACGGACGCUCCGCGGCCCCGGGUCCUCCCAAGGACUCGGCACCCCCCGCAGCCCUCCCCGGCCCCGGGCGGCCUUCCCCAGCACCGGCAUCCCCGGGACGCGGGGAGCUCCCCAGCACCGGCAUCCCGCCCGGCCCCGGCAUCCCGCCCGGCCCCGGGGCCCCCGCCGGCCCCUCCACGAGCACAACCCCCGGGCUCGCCCCGCCACUCCCCCGGCCCGGGGUCCCGCCGCGUCCGCCCCACGGCCCUGCCCGGGGAGAUCCCACCGGGACCCCGCGCCGCGGAGCUCCGCGCUGCCCCCGGCCCGGCCCUCGGGGGUCUGCACGGGCCCGGCGCUGCCCGAGCGCGGCGGGGCCGGCCCGUGCCCCGUGCGCUGCCCCCGCUCGCUGCCGGUACCUGCGGCGGCCGCUCCGCUGCCGGGGGUCGCGGGGGAGGGUGGGGGGCUCGGGGCCGCGUCACUUCCACUUCCGGCACCGGCCGGCGGGGACAGCGCCGCCACCGGCACCGACACCGGCACCGCACGGGACCACCGGCACCUCUCCGGACCCUCCCCGGCACCGGCAACACUGGAUACCGCUGAGUACCCCCCGGGACCGGGAGCCCCGGGCCGUGCCGGAACGGGGGACCUUCCCCUGGGUGGUACUCCCGGGGCCGGUGACCCCGACACUGCCCGUGCCCGCCCCAGGUCCGGCUGUUCCGGGCGGGCAGCGGGACCCCGGGGCCAUGGACCAGUUCAGCCCAGUUGAAUCCCCGGUUACCCCUGCGGCAUCCCCCAAGGCGCGGGCAGCGCCGGUUUCCGCCCCGCUGCCCCACACCGGCACCGGACGGGGCCGGGGCAGCACCGGGACUCCCUGCGGCUGCUGCGCCCCCGGAACCCCCCAAACCCCAGCUGGACCGGGAGGGUCUCGGAGCUCCCGGCUCUUACCAGCCCCGGAGGGGAGCGGGGCGUCCGGGGGCCGGCCGGGAGCAGCGAUGGUGGCACAGGGUGUGCGGGGUCCCUGCAGCCUGCGGGCACCAGCCUGA
This 1800-nucleotide long non-coding RNA is filed under the name Taeniopygia guttata (zebra finch). RNAcentral's name for it is "lncRNA (ENSTGUG00000023240.1)". Lineage: Eukaryota; Metazoa; Chordata; Aves; Passeriformes; Estrildidae. The record is from RNAcentral.